This 2235-nucleotide long non-coding RNA is filed under the name Triticum aestivum (bread wheat). RNAcentral describes it as "long non-coding RNA (TAES_LNC021481)". Lineage: Eukaryota; Viridiplantae; Streptophyta; Magnoliopsida; Poales; Poaceae. The record is from RNAcentral.
AAAAAUAAAAGAAUAUACUCAUUAGAGAAAGAAAUCAUAUAUUGGAUAAAGCUGUUGGAUUACAAUGGUUGAUAUUACAAGGGAAACAUCAUCGAAAUGUGAUGCAUAACCUAAAUAUUUUCUUGACAGCGAAACUUACAUAAAAAGCAUCCUUCAACAUCCCUACAACUUAACUAAACUUAACCGGGGAACACCAUCCGACAGAAACAUCAUCCCUACAACUUAACUAAAACUGAUAGCAUCCAUCAUCAUCAUCAUGGACCGGAACAUCAUUAUCAUCAUGAAACGGAACAUCAUCAUCAUUGCAAUAUACUUGCCACGCACCAUUAUAAUCAUCCAUAUAUCUUUUGAAUCUACAAAGAAAAUAACAAAAUGAACUGUUAAUACACAAUGCAUUGACAUGAUGAAUGUAGUGAUAGAGGCAGCAGGAUGUUAGGCACGUACGUACAAAGGUUGAAGGCUAUGCAAUCUUCUUUUUUCUGCAUUAUCGAGAGUAUUGCAGCUUUUGCGACUCCGUACCGAAUCUUCAGUUUUCACAAGUGCCAUAUCGACAUGCACUACCAAGAAUUCAUUUGUAAUUUUAGCAUCAUCAAGUUUAAAUUUAGGAUCACAACUUACAACUAUAGCAAGAGCUACGUCCCUAUUAUGAUUGUGAAAAGAUACCGGCAUGAGUGUUAGUUGUCAUUGAUGACUAAUCACGACGCCACAAUAUAUGACACAGCCUGCAGAAAAACAUGGCUUAAUAAAAUUAUAUGGAGAGUAGCCUAAGUGCUGAUGUGCAUUCAAGGGCAAUUGUGAGUGACAGUACCACUUCUUUUCUCUUCUCCAUUUAGUUAGCAAACUGAACUAAAAAGGUUUUAGUGAUCUGAAACCAAAACAUUUAGCUCUAGUUGGUUUCAGUCAUCCAACAGGAAACAAACAAACCUAAAGGUGCUCACCACGCUUUGGAACAAAACUACAGCCUCAAAUCCACUGAAACGAAUUUACAUAGUUAUCACCAGCCUAGAGAUCCAUUGCUAAUUCUGUACACCUACAGUCAAACUGUUUUGUGUGAACCAACAGAAUUAUUUAUUACUAAAUAAAUUCACUGACCUACAGCCCCAAAUGCUAUAAAUUGGCAUGGACAGCAGCAUAGAACCUAGCACGGCUCAAUGGUCGUGGACACAUUGAGCAGUACCAUGGUAGGGAGAGGGAGAGAGUAUACCUUCCAUGGCAUCGUCCAUGACUUGCUCCACGAACUCGACUUGCUCCAUGGAGUCGCCGUACAUCGAGUUGGUGCGUGUAGCUUCAAAACCAAGGGAAAAAGGUUACAGGUGUCUCAUGCAUCUCUAGAACAGUGCAAAAGAAGUAAACUUCAUCAAGAUCAAUCCGUACAUAAUAAAAGAAGAGCAACCUAUCCUGUUCUAUAUGUACUAGUUACUACCUUGGCAACUUUACAUCUGGCUAAAUGAAUUUAUCCCUGAGUUAGCUAGACUAGUCAUUAAGCCGUGCUUCUGCAUAGGCUAGACAGUUUUAGUUUACCAUAUAUAACUGGAACAUAUUUAUGUGAUAAAAAAAUAUUAGAACCAUAAAUUUUAAAAGAAGCAUACUUUUGACUAACUGAGAAAUAUUACAUGUGAUAUUGUGUUGGCUUCCAUGUGGCUAAAGUAAAUUUAAUUUUAGUGAAGGCAUUUGUACAUACUAUUUAUCAUUCCUAUAAAUAAAGUUUCCAAAUUAUAAUUUGUAUGAAAAAGUCAGGAACCUAAGGCUAGAAAAUAUACAGAGGAUAUUGGUGAAUGUUCUGAUUUCCUUUAAUUACAUAGCAGGAGUCUAAAUCUUGUGUGCUCCUAAUAUUAGCUAUAUGGAAACCCCAAAUGCAUCCCAUGCUUUAGUGAUUUCGGUUCAGAAAAGGAAACCACAGUUUCUAGUUAACAAACAAAACUAAAGCUGAUGUACAUGAAUAUCUGUCUUGUAUAUAUGCAAGGCGUCAUUAAGAAAUGUUUUCUGAAAUAAACACGUACAUCAUUCAAAUAUUCUACAUAAGAUACACAUCAAAUGAUCAUGUUAAGCCACCUAUAAACAUCAAAGUGAUCGAAAUGCUUGCUGGAGGCAGAAGCAGCGGCGAAGCCAGCCUCGGGGAUCUGUGGGGUCAGUGGUAAUUUUGUUGAUUAUUUUUUUCACAAUGAACAGUAAUUGUACAGUGUUUUACGGCUGUUUUUCACAAAAGUUAUGGGGUCAGCUGACCCCACAGCUUAC